AACUAAGGGCAUCUCCAACGC
Molecule: non-coding RNA, 21 nt
Filed under: Arabidopsis thaliana (thale cress)
Lineage: Eukaryota; Viridiplantae; Streptophyta; Magnoliopsida; Brassicales; Brassicaceae
Source: RNAcentral